GUUCUGUUAUAAAAUAAUGGAAUGGACAGGGGGUCGAGGUUUGGAUCAUUUCUUACUAGUAGUUCUCAUGUUGAAAUGUAUAUUUUCCUUCUGUCAUGGUUUAAGGCAAAUCCAAAAGUAUCCCUCGGGUGCUGCCUGUACUCAGGGGCUUGUGCUGCAAGACUUAGGAAGGCCACUCACGCGCAGCCCUAGGGGCGCGGGAGGGAGAAGGCUGGAAGGAGUCACCCGGGACCGCACCACUCGCGCGCGCCGCUCAGCCCUUCGCCGUCCGGGAGUAGGCUUCCCAGUCAACUCCUCCCGGGAGCUCGUCUCCCGACUACCCCACGGGACGCCGGCGCCAACGCCAGCGGCAAUCCCAAGCAGUC
RNAcentral lists this long non-coding RNA (365 nucleotides) under Rattus norvegicus (Norway rat). RNAcentral describes it as "long non-coding RNA NONRATT000233". Lineage: Eukaryota; Metazoa; Chordata; Mammalia; Rodentia; Muridae. The record is from RNAcentral.